RNAcentral lists this transfer RNA (71 nucleotides) under Candidatus Moraniibacteriota bacterium. RNAcentral's name for it is "tRNA-Cys". It matches the Rfam family "tRNA". From Rfam's summary of the family: Transfer RNA (tRNA) molecules are approximately 80 nucleotides in length. The record is from RNAcentral. Lineage: Bacteria; Candidatus Moraniibacteriota.
GGUCGCGUGGCCGAUCGGUUAGGCACGGGACUGCAAAUCCCUUUAGUCCGGUUCGACUCCGGACGCGACCU